RNAcentral lists this long non-coding RNA (1135 nucleotides) under Mus caroli (Ryukyu mouse). RNAcentral's name for it is "lncRNA (MGP_CAROLIEiJ_G0005992.1)". The record is from RNAcentral. Lineage: Eukaryota; Metazoa; Chordata; Mammalia; Rodentia; Muridae.
GCUCUUCCGCCGCGGCGCGCUCCUGAUGAGUGCUGUGUCCAGGAUGACCAUGAAUUCAAGGUUUUUUUUUUUUCCCCAGGAAAAGCCAGUGCAGUUACCUGAUAGUGAGUAAACCUUAUGUUUCUGGUGGUUUCGUCAGAUCUACCAUCACCUGCCAGCCUGACCUGCUUUGAUCCCGCAGACUGUCCCUGUUCCCUUAUGAACAAAAGGACAGGCUAUUGCACAGCAGCCCAUGGUUUGGUACACAGUUGCUGCAGGUACUUAAAAUGGCUGCCUGAACUUAAACUGGGAGGGUAGCCAUUAGGAGAUAGAAACCUACCUCCUAUAUUUCUUAGGAGUCUUGUGACUUAGAAACCCUGUUCUUCAUUCCUCCCUAAAUGGCCAACCACCAUGGGCAAGGGUUCACCUGACACUCAUAAGCCUAGCCUGAGCUGUGCAGUGGUGCUGCAUACCUUUAAUCCUGGCAGAGGCGGGUGCAUUUCUGAAUAUGAAGCCAGCCUGGCCUACAGAGCAAAUUCCAGAACAGCUAAGGCUACACAGAGAAACCAAAACACUCCAGCCUGAUUGUUUCAGGUACAGACCUUUCCUGAAGGUUCAGGCUUGGGCCUACUCAACUCCAUAGGCCCAAAGGCUAAUUCAUGAUAAAGUCAGUUAGGCUUCUGUUUCCUUGCUAGAGAACUGGCCUCUCAGAGUCAAGUAANCUUCCCUCUCCCCUGACUUGAGUUAUAUAAGCCAGUCCUGCUAGUUCAAUAAUUGAGCUGUCCUCCGAAACAGUAUCCUAGUGUAGAAACAUAGUUUUAGUGGUGAAGAUGACCAGACCAAGUCUGCAGCCACCAAAACAAGAUUACUAGUUCUCAGAAAAAGUUUCCUGCCCUUCCCUGUACUGAAUUCCAAAGAAAACCACAAAGUGCCCUGAUCUUGCCACCAAAAUUCCCUGAGAUACUAAUUAGCUGACCAAUGAAUUUAAAAAUAUAUUGCUGCUUUGCUGACCAAUCACAAUAUGACUAUUCAACCCUCCAUAAAAAGAGUAUAAAAAGAGCUGUGCUUUUAGAGCUCGGGGUUGACUCUCCCUGCGAGGCUGAGCAACCCCGAGCGCGCACGCGUGGGAGCAAUAAACACCUUGCCAUUGCAACGA